AGACCCGAAACCCGGUGAUCUAGCCAUGGGCAGGUUGAAGGUUGGGUAACACUAACUGGAGGACCGAACCGACUAAUGUUGAAAAAUUAGCGGAUGACCUGUGGCUGGGGGUGAAAGGCCAAUCAAACCGGGAGAUAGCUGGUUCUCCCCGAAAGCUAUUUAGGUAGCGCCUCGUGAAUUCAUCUCCGGGGGUAGAGCACUGUUUCGGCUAGGGGGCCAUCCCGGCUUACCAACCCGAUGCAAACUGCGAAUACCGGAGAAUGUUAUCACGGGAGACACACGGCGGGUGCUAACGUCCGUCGUGAAGAGGGAAACAACCCAGACCGCCAGCUAAGGUCCCAAAGUCAUGGUUAAGUGGGAAACGAUGUGGGAAGGCCCAGACAGCCAGGAUGUUGGCUUAGAAGCAGCCAUCAUUUAAAGAAAGCGUAAUAGCUCACUGGUCGAGUCGGCCUGCGCGGAAGAUGUAACGGGGCUAAACCAUGCACCGAAGCUGCGGCAGCGAACGUAUCACCCAAGACAACUUUACGGAGUUGACGAUUGACGGAGCGAAGCGACGUCAAAGCGUUCAUUAAAGUCAAGUUGGCUUAGGGAUACGUUCGUUGGGUAGGGGAGCGUUCUGUAAGCCUGUGAAGGUGUGUCGUGAGGCAUGCUGGAGGUAUCAGAAGUGCGAAUGCUGACAUAAGUAACGAUAAAGCGGGUGAAAAGCCCGCUCGCCGGAAGACCAAGGGUUCCUGUCCAACGUUAAUCGGGGCAGGGUGAGUCGACCCCUAAGGCGAGGCCGAAAGGCGUAGUCGAUGGGAAACGGGUUAAUAUUCCCGUACUUGGUGUUACUGCGAAGGGGGGACGGAGAAGGCUAUGUUGGCCGGGCGACGGUUGUCCCGGUUUAAGCGUGUAGGUGUGUGUUCCAGGUAAAUCCGGUUCACUUUAACAC
This 931-nucleotide ribosomal RNA is filed under the name Salmonella enterica. Its description in RNAcentral is "partial 23S ribosomal RNA". It matches the Rfam family "Bacterial large subunit ribosomal RNA", at positions 711 to 1556 of the family's 2925-position model. The record is from RNAcentral. Lineage: Bacteria; Pseudomonadati; Pseudomonadota; Gammaproteobacteria; Enterobacterales; Enterobacteriaceae.